AGGAAGAAACUUUUCAGAUGUCAACUCCAUUCUGCAAGCUGUAGAAGACGGUGUUGUUGACGGCGCUUUGAUCGACAAGCUUACCGGUGCACGCCAGGAAGCGCUACGCGACCCAAGCAGUGUUCUCGUGGUGAAAAGUAUCAUUCCUCAGUCAUUGACUUACGGCAUAUUUAUGACUGGUCAUGCUGUUAAAUUGCACAAACAGUUUCGACAGUAUUUACGGAACAACGCACAGCUCGUGACUGGCCUUGUUAAAAACUACACCCAACCGCUAAAA
Molecule: non-coding RNA, 277 nt
Organism: Paramuricea clavata
Lineage: Eukaryota; Metazoa; Cnidaria; Anthozoa; Malacalcyonacea; Plexauridae
Source: the annotation of a GenBank genome assembly